CUCUUGUGGAUCAGUGGCGAACGGGUGAGUAACACGUGAGCAACCUGCCCCGGACUCUGGGAUAAGCGCUGGAAACGGCGUCUAAUACUGGAUAUGAGACGUGAUCGCAUGGUCAACGUUUGGAAAGAUUUUUCGGUCUGGGAUGGGCUCGCGGCCUAUCAGCUUGUUGGUGAGGUAAUGGCUCACCAAGGCGUCGACGGGUAGCCGGCCUGAGAGGGUGACCGGCCACACUGGGACUGAGACACGGCCCAGACUCCUACGGGAGGCAGCAGUGGGGAAUAUUGCACAAUGGGCGAAAGCCUGAUGCAGCAACGCCGCGUGAGGGAUGACGGCCUUCGGGUUGUAAACCUCUUUUAGCAGGGAAGAAGCGAAAGUGACGGUACCUGCAGAAAAAGCACCGGCUAACUACGUGCCAGCAGCCGCGGUAAUACGUAGGGUGCAAGCGUUAUCCGGAAUUAUUGGGCGUAAAGAGCUCGUAGGCGGUUUGUCGCGUCUGCUGUGAAAACUGGAGGCUCAACCUCCAGCCUGCAGUGGGUACGGGCAGACUAGAGUGCGGUAGGGGAGAUUGGAAUUCCUGGUGUAGCGGUGGAAUGCGCAGAUAUCAGGAGGAACACCGAUGGCGAAGGCAGAUCUCUGGGCCGUAACUGACGCUGAGGAGCGAAAGGGUGGGGAGCAAACA
RNAcentral lists this ribosomal RNA (679 nucleotides) under Microbacterium sp. RNAcentral describes it as "bacterial SSU rRNA". It matches the Rfam family "Bacterial small subunit ribosomal RNA", at positions 82 to 774 of the family's 1533-position model. The record is from RNAcentral. Lineage: Bacteria; Bacillati; Actinomycetota; Actinomycetes; Micrococcales; Microbacteriaceae.